This is a long non-coding RNA of Vespula vulgaris, 1095 nucleotides long. RefSeq lists it as uncharacterized. The transcript is spliced from 2 exons. NCBI's taxonomy places the organism in Eukaryota, Metazoa, Arthropoda, Insecta, Hymenoptera, Vespidae. The record is from RefSeq and is a predicted model, not a curated record.
UUCCAGUUGAUCUGCGUCCUUACUAUCCUGAUAAUUACCAAUGUAAAGGCCGGGAAGCACCUGCACACAUAUUGCAAAGAUAAAUUACUAAACGUACGGAAAGACAAAGCAUGUUAAUUUUCAUCUUUAUAAUACACUUUUACGGAGAACUAUAGAUGUGCCAGCUAAUUGAAAGAAAUUUAAUGAUACCUGCUUAUUGUAUAAAUAAAACGUAUUUAUAUCCAAUCUUCAUUUUUCUCUUAAUAGAUCGAACAAAACGUUUCGUUUUGUAUCUCAUUGCAUUAGCAAAUUUAUCGUCUCUUGACAAUUCAAUCCUUCUUAGAAGUUGGAACGAUUUUUUGCAAUUAAAUGAUGUGAAAAUAAGAGAGGAUGUCUUUGAUUAUGAACGACGUUUCAAUUAUUAUAACAGAAAGAUAGAAAUUCUAAUCAGGCCGAUAUGCGUGUUGCAAAAGUUAAAGAUCGAACGAGCGUUGCGUUCGACUGGAAGUUUGCCAAAAAUAUUCGUCAGUUAGUACAAUACUACGUAGUAUGUAAUAGGAGUGUUUUGAGAACUCGUGGCUUUCGUUUUGCGCACGAUACGUCAACAUAUUUUCGCGAACUGUGUCAAAGAAUUUUCAGGGUUAAAGCAAAAGGACGUCAGUGAAAUUCAUCGGCACGAAGGAGCUCGAACGAUGCAUUUAUUAAAGCAUCGUCGAGAGAGUGGGAAUAAUUAAUUGGCCAUUGGUUGUUCGGUAGCUUCUAAUUUCUUAUUUCGAGAAGCGUUUUUCCUUAUAAAAAUCAUGCUUCGGUCACUUGACCGUAACCGCUUUUUUCAUUGAUUAGAUCGUCGACCCGUUUUCUUUAGCGUCCUCGUUUAUUGCACAAUGCAUCGCGUUGAACUUUUUCCGCCCAAGGAUAUCGUAUGCUUGCGACUCGUAAUUCCGCACAAAUUUCCAUCAUACUUCGCGACUGAUUGCUCUACUUGUUGAACCGUUGUCAGAUUAUUACGAUUAUUAUAAUCCGUCGCUUGUUUUUUCUAUAGCUAACUUCGAAAAGUGCUACCACGUGUUAUAUAUUUAACAAUGUAAUAAAUAAAUAAAUUUCUUCUUCUCUCUA